AGAAAAUGAUCCUUAAGUAUAGAGUCCCCACACUAAAUAUCGUACAAAACUUAGCUCAGACAGUCAUCCACAGAAAUACAAGUGAGAACAAAAGUCAAAAAGAUCCACCCUGUUUGAAUAGCUUUUGACUUGACCCUAUGGCCCCCUCCCCACCUCAGAACACCAACCACCUUCAGCUCCACUCAUUUUUUCAAACAUAUUGUUUCUUAAAUGCCAACAUUCUAUACCACAAACUCAGCUAUUCCAACUACUAUUAAACAAAACCUUCCCUUUAGCUUGGCAUGUGUUAUACAAUCAUAAAAAUGAACUUCUCCACUUCAUCUAACCUUCUUUGAUUCUACAAGCAUGCUCUUCAUCUCCUCUAUAUUAAGGAUAAUCAAUAUGAGAGUAAAGGUGACUGCUGUUUUUUAAAAAAUUAUUUCCAGGACAUCUUUUUGAUUCCUAAUUUUGCUAAGAUUACAAUCAAUACAUUAUGUCUUACUCUUGCUUAACUUAAAAUCUUUAGAUCCUAGAACAUCACAUCAUAGGCUUACAUUGCAAUGCACCACGAGACAUCUUCCUAGUAGGUUCAUCCACAGCCUAAGCAAUUAAGUAAGCACUAUUAAUUGUUGAUGUAAGCCUGAUGUGAUUAGAAAUUUUCUGCUCUUUCCUCCUGUUGUUCUCAUGAUAGUCACACUCCAUCAUUCCUAUUCUUGAUCACUAUAUCAAAUAUCAUAGGACACUCCAAGCUAACGGAUGCAAAACGUGUUAAGACUUACUGGUUCAGGUCAAGUUGUUUGGUUAAGCAACACAUCCCAUUGAGGUGCUAAGUCUUUUGCUUGUGUGUGUUUUAUCUUUUCUUUUCUUUCCUUCUUUUUUUUUUUUUUAUUUUGGGGGGUGGGGGAGGAGGAGAAGGGAGUGAGGGAUUUCUAGCACUUAUUUUCAAAUAUAACACAUUUCAGAUCAGGCACAUAAAUUAUUCAAAUAUCACACACUUCAUGCAGGCAUUUAGUGUCAAAGGACAGCUUUGCUGUCCACACUUCUUUCCCUAUUUUAGCCCACACUUGCUGUCCACCCUUCUUUCCUUAUUUUAGCCCACAAUUAUUUCCUUAUUUCUCCAUUUAUUAUUCUAUACAGUUAGCAUACAUUAUUUGACAGAUUAUAGUUUACAUGUAUAGGGCUAGAAUCAUGCUGGAAUUUAUUUGCUUUUAUUUGCUUUCCAUGUAUAGCAUCCUUGUAAAGUCUAUAUAUAAUAUACAAAACUCAAGGCCAAGGUAUUCGGCCAUUCACACAAUAUUUUGACAUUUAGUACUCAAGGGUUGUGAAGGCCACAAGUCUUAGAACAUUUAUAUAGUGGUACCAUGCAUUCUACAUAUAUGUAUGUAAGAAAAAAAUCUACAAUAUCACAGCCUCUCACAAUUCUAAUGAGAUUCACAUAAAAUGAUCACCCUAUGUAAACAUUGAGCUGAUUGACCACCCCAUAUAUGAGCAGUAAAAAGGAAAAUGUUGGAACUUGAUCAUUCUCUUCAUGUGAUAAUAACUCAGUUUAGGUAUCAUAAAUAAUUCUUUUGCAUGUCUAAAAGAGGUAAAGUAUAAAGUUCUCAAUUAUUUCUAUUGAUGUUGGCAUUUGUCCAUCCUAAGAGUGUUUAGAUCUAUUUAAAAGGGUCUAGAUAUGUGCAUGAUCUCACUUUGAUAUGUUGAGGAUGAAGCCAUGAUGAUGGGUGGGCCAGAUCACAACCCACCUAAUACUUCUGAAACUUGGAGGAAAAUUUUGGGAACAUUGAACACUUUAUAAACAGUAGAGCAAACUCCUGAACACUUGUUUUCCACAUAGCUCUCUCAUUUCUUUAGAUUUU
This 1835-nucleotide long non-coding RNA is filed under the name Vitis vinifera (wine grape). RNAcentral's name for it is "long non-coding RNA (VVIN_LNC007306)". The record is from RNAcentral. Lineage: Eukaryota; Viridiplantae; Streptophyta; Magnoliopsida; Vitales; Vitaceae.